Molecule: ribosomal RNA, 215 nt
Filed under: uncultured bacterium
Lineage: Bacteria
Description: partial 16S ribosomal RNA
Rfam family: Bacterial small subunit ribosomal RNA
Source: RNAcentral
UCCCAGUUCGGAUUGUAGUCUGCAACCCGACUACAUGAAGCUGGAAUCGCUAGUAAUCGCGGAUCAGAAUGCCGCGGUGAAUACGUUCCCGGGUCUUGUACACACCGCCCGUCACACCAUGGGAGUCGGAAAUGCCCGAAGUCUGUGACCUAACCGUAAGGGAGGAGCAGCCGAAGGCAGGUCGGAUGACUGGGGUGAAGUCGUAACAAGGUAGC